AGGACGAACGCUGGCGGCGUGCUUAACACAUGCAAGUCGAGCGGUAAGGCCCUUUCGGGGGGUACACGAGCGGCGAACGGGUGAGUAACACGUGAGCAAUCUGCCCUUCACUUCGGGAUAAGCCUCGAAAACGGGGUCUAAUACCGGGUAUGACUGCGCCAUGCAUGUGGUGUGGUGGAAAGUUCUGGCGGUGAGGGAUGAGCUCGCGGCCUAUCAGCGUUGUUGGUGGGGUAAUGGCCUACCAAGGCUUCGACGGGUAGCCGGCCUGAGAGGGUGACCGGCCACACUGGGACUGAGACGACCGGCCCAGACUCCGUACGGGAGGCAGCAGGUAGGGGAAUAGUUGGGACAAGUGGGAGAAGGCUGAUCCAGCAACGCCGCGUAGGAGGA
RNAcentral lists this ribosomal RNA (390 nucleotides) under uncultured soil bacterium. RNAcentral describes it as "bacterial SSU rRNA". It matches the Rfam family "Bacterial small subunit ribosomal RNA", at positions 26 to 409 of the family's 1533-position model. The record is from RNAcentral.